AUUUUUACCUUUAGAUAGUGCUUUCAAGUUGACAGUAAUAUUUUUUUAUUUCGAAAUUUUCAUAAUGGAUUUUGAAUUAAGUGAAGACGUUAAACAACGCAUAGAAAUAGUGCUUGAUCUUACAACUACAGCAUUUAACUUUGGCUACAUUCCCUUUAUAAUUUAUUUGGGUUGGAAAUUGGGUCCUGACAGCGGCUGUCGAAGUUUCCACUUCACACAUUUACUUUUUAACUACUAAAGGCGUCUUCGUAGUCUCGCGCCGGUGGACGAUGAUGAUAAGUGAGGGAUCCAUGCCUUACAAGAACUCCAGCACCUCUACCCCUCUCGUCUAUCAAGAAAAUUUCUGUGAAGAUGAUAAUGCCGAACACAGCAAAAAACAUCACCACAAUGAAAAAACUCAUGUUAGCCCUUUGUCGGUUGCGAAAGUUGAUGUACUUCUUCUUUCCCCCGCUGCUCGACCCCAUGACUUUUUAUCUGAAAACAGGUGCCAUUCUAAGUGUUAUGUGUCGCUCUGUUUAUUUAUAGCAAGUGAGGAUGAUAAGUUGAUAACUGUGACUCGUUUGCAACAAAAGCGUAUUCGUUUUGUGCACCAGAGAGUGAUCGAUUCUGUUGGCGCGUAAUCGGAAGACUAACUGUAAAUUGUGUGUUAAAUAAAUUUUGUGUGUUGUAGAA
This is a long non-coding RNA of Tribolium madens (black flour beetle), 672 nucleotides long. RefSeq lists it as uncharacterized. The record is from RefSeq and is a predicted model, not a curated record. The transcript is spliced from 2 exons. Lineage: Eukaryota; Metazoa; Arthropoda; Insecta; Coleoptera; Tenebrionidae.